This 482-nucleotide ribosomal RNA is filed under the name uncultured bacterium. RNAcentral's name for it is "bacterial SSU rRNA". It matches the Rfam family "Bacterial small subunit ribosomal RNA", at positions 28 to 507 of the family's 1533-position model. The record is from RNAcentral.
GACGAACGCUGGCGGCGUGCCUAACACAUGCAAGUCGAGCGGAGUCGAUCGACGGAAGCCUUCGGGCGGAAGAUGGUUGACUUAGCGGCGGAUGGGUGAGUAACGCGUGGGCAACCUGCCUCGAAGACCGGGAUAACAGCCCGAAAGGGCUGCUAAUACCGGAUGUGGUCAAGGAUCCGCAUGGAUUUUGAUUAAAGGGGAAACCCGUUUCGAGAUGGGCCCGCGUCCUAUCAGCUAGUUGGUGAGGUAAAAGCUCACCAAGGCGACGACGGGUAGCCGGCCUGAGAGGGUGACCGGCCACACUGGAACUGAGACACGGUCCAGACUCCUACGGGGGGCAGCAGUGGGGAAUCUUCCACAAUGGGCGAAAGCCUGAUGGAGCGACGCCGCGUGAGCGAAGAAGGCCUUCGGGUUGUAAAGCUCUGUCUGGAGGGACGAAGGAAGUGACGGUACCUCCGGAGGAAGCCACGGCUAACUACGUG